UUCCGGUUGAUCCUGCCGGACCUGACUGCUAUCGGAUUGGUACUAAGCCAUGCGAGUCAUUGUAGCAAUACAAGGCGGACGGCUCAGUAACACGUAGUCAACCUAACUCGUGGACGUGGAUAACCUCGGGAAACUGAGAAUAAACCGCGAUAGACCAUAGUGCCUGGAAUGGCCUAUGAUCAAAAUAGUUUACUGCCAUGGGAUGGGACUGCGGCCUAUCAGCUUGUUGGUGAGGUAAUGGCCCACCAAGGCGAUUACAGGUACGGGCUCUGAGAGGAGAAGCCCGGAGAUGGGUACUGAGACACGGACCCAGGCCCUAUGGGGCGCAGCAGGCGAGAAACCUUAGCAAUGUGCGAAAGCACGACUGGGUCAGUCCGAGUGAUUCCUGAUGAAGGAGUCUUAAGCUUGUCCUACAAGCACAGGUGACUAAGGGGUGGGCAAGUCUGGUGUCAGCCGCCGCGGUAAUACCAGCAACUCGAGUGGUCCGGACGUUCAUAGGAGACUAAAGCAUCCUAAGCCGCGCU
Molecule: ribosomal RNA, 524 nt
Filed under: uncultured archaeon
Lineage: Archaea
Description: bacterial SSU rRNA
Rfam family: Archaeal small subunit ribosomal RNA
Source: RNAcentral